This 68-nucleotide transfer RNA is filed under the name Camelus bactrianus (Bactrian camel). It matches the Rfam family "tRNA". Rfam says of the family: Transfer RNA (tRNA) molecules are approximately 80 nucleotides in length. Their secondary structure includes four short double-helical elements and three loops (D, anti-codon, and T loops). The record is from Rfam by way of RNAcentral. RNAcentral also lists the same sequence under 2 other names. Lineage: Eukaryota; Metazoa; Chordata; Mammalia; Artiodactyla; Camelidae.
GAGGGGAUAGCUCAGUGGUAGAGUGCAUGCCAUGCAGGAGGUCCUGGGUUCAAUCCCCAGUACAUACA